RNAcentral lists this ribosomal RNA (460 nucleotides) under uncultured bacterium. RNAcentral describes it as "partial 16S ribosomal RNA". It matches the Rfam family "Bacterial small subunit ribosomal RNA", at positions 338 to 795 of the family's 1533-position model. The record is from RNAcentral.
CCUACGGGAGGCAGCAGUGAGGAAUAUUGGUCAAUGGACGAGAGUCUGAACCAGCCAAGUAGCGUGAAGGAUGACUGCCCUAUGGGUUGUAAACUUCUUUUAUAUGGGAAUAAAAUGUUCCACGUGUGGGAUUUUGUAUGUACCAUAUGAAUAAGGAUCGGCUAACUCCGUGCCAGCAGCCGCGGUAAUACGGAGGAUCCGAGCGUUAUCCGGAUUUAUUGGGUUUAAAGGGAGCGUAGGUGGAUUGUUAAGUCAGUUGUGAAAGUUUGCGGCUCAUCCGUAAAAUUGCAGUUGAAACUGGCAGUCUUGAGUACAGUAGAGGUGGGCGGAAUUCGUGGUGUAGCGGUGAAAUGCUUAGAUAUCACGAAGAACUCCGAUUGCGAAGGCAGCUCACUGGACUGCAACUGACGCUCAUGCACGAAAGUGUGGGUAUCGAACAGGAUUAGAUACCCCUGUAGUC